RNAcentral lists this ribosomal RNA (253 nucleotides) under uncultured bacterium. Its description in RNAcentral is "partial 16S ribosomal RNA". It matches the Rfam family "Bacterial small subunit ribosomal RNA", at positions 524 to 776 of the family's 1533-position model. The record is from RNAcentral.
UACGGGGGGGGCAAGCGUUGUUCGGAAUUACUGGGCGUAAAGGGCUCGUAGGCGGCCAACUAAGUCAGACGUGAAAUCCCUCGGCUUAACCGGGGAACUGCGUCUGAUACUGGAUGGCUUGAAUCCGGGAGAGGGAUGCGGAAUUCCAGGUGCAGCGGUGAAAUGCGUAGAUAUCUGGAGGAACACCGGUGGCGAAGGCGGCAUCCUGGACCGGCAUUGACGCUGAGGAGCGAAAGCCAGGGGAGCAAACGGG